This 373-nucleotide ribosomal RNA is filed under the name uncultured Bacteroidota bacterium. RNAcentral's name for it is "bacterial SSU rRNA". It matches the Rfam family "Bacterial small subunit ribosomal RNA", at positions 521 to 896 of the family's 1533-position model. Lineage: Bacteria; Pseudomonadati; Bacteroidota. The record is from RNAcentral.
UAAUACGGAGGGUCCAAGCGUUAUCCGGAUUCAUUGGGUUUAAAGGGUGCGCAGGUGGGGAUGUAAGUCAGUGGUGAAAUACUGCCGCUCAACGGUAGAACUGCCAUUGAUACUGCAUCUCUUGAAUAUGGUUGAGGUAGGCGGAAUGUGUCGUGUAGCGGUGAAAUGCAUAGAUAUGACACAGAACGCCAAUUGCGAAGGCAGCUUACUAAGCCAUUAUUGACGCUGAGGCACGAAAGCGUGGGGAGCGAACAGGAUUAGAUACCCUGGUAGUCCACGCCGUAAACGAUGUUCACUCGCUGUCUGCGAUACACAGUAGGCGGCUAAGCGAAAGCAUUAAGUGAACCACCUGGGGAGUACGAUCGCAAGGUUG